GGGCACCUACGGGGGCCUACAACCACAUAGGCGGGGCCAAAGAGGCCUGCGUCGUUUGCUAAACGGAAGACAGACA
Molecule: non-coding RNA, 76 nt
Filed under: unclassified sequences
Description: L2-Alphaproteobacteria ribosomal protein leader
Rfam family: L2-Alphaproteobacteria ribosomal protein leader
Source: RNAcentral